Molecule: ribosomal RNA, 274 nt
Filed under: uncultured bacterium
Lineage: Bacteria
Description: partial 16S ribosomal RNA
Rfam family: Bacterial small subunit ribosomal RNA
Source: RNAcentral
AUACGGAGGGUGCAAGCGUUACUCGGAAUCACUGGGCGUAAAGCGCGCGCAGGCGGCUUGAUAAGUUGGAUGUGAAAGCCUACGGCUCAACCGUAGAACUGCAUCCAAAACUGUCAAGCUAGAGUCUGGGAGGGGUAGGUGGAAUUAGUUGUGUAGGGGUAAAAUCCGUAGAGAUAACUAGGAAUACCAAAAGCGAAGGUGAUCUUCUGGAACAGUACUGACGCUGAGGCGCGAAAGCGUGGGGAGCAAACAGGAUUAGAAACCCCAGUAGUCC